GAAAUGCAUUUAGGUGCAGCGUCACGUGUUUCUUACCGGAGGUAGAGCUACUGGAUAGCUGAUGGGCCUCACCAGGUUACUGACGUUAGCCAAACUCCGAAUGCCGGUAAGUGAGAGCGUGGCAGUGAGACUGCGGGGGAUAAGCUCCGUAGUCGAGAGGGAAACAGCCCAGACCACCAUCUAAGGUCCCUAAGCGUGUGCUAAGUGGGAAAGGAUGUGGAGUUGCAUUGACAACCAGGAGGUUGGCUUAGAAGCAGCCACCCUUUAAAGAGUGCGUAAUAGCUCACUGGUCAAGUGAUUCCGCGCCGACAAUGUAGCGGGGCUCAAGCACACCACCGAAGCUGUGGCAUUGACACACUGCUCGGCCAGUUUUCCUGCGGGGUUCUGGUCCAGGCGUGUUGAUGGGUAGGGGAGCGUCGUGUGGCCAGGGAAGCGGCGGAGUGAUCCAGCCGUGGAGGCCACACGAGUGAGAAUGCAGGCAUGAGUAGCGAAUGACGGGCGAGAAACCCGUCCGCCGAAUAACCAAGGGUUCCAGGGUCAAGCUAAUCUGCCCUGGGUAAGUCGGGACCUAAGGCGAGGCCGACAGGCGUAGUCGAUGGACAUCCGGUUGAUAUUCCGGAACCGGCGAAGAACCGCCCAUGACGAACCUAGUGAUGCUAAACGCCCAAAGCUGUUGUCCAAGACCUUCGGGUUGAGGGUUUCAGUGGAGCGCGUGACCCGAUCUAGUAGUAGUCAAGCGAUGGAGAGACGCAGGAAGGUAGCCUCCGCGUGGCGAUGGUAGUCCACGUCCAAGGGUGUAGGGCGAGCUGUAGGCAAAUCCGCAGCUCACAUAGCCUGAGACCUGAUAGUGACCGCGUAUGCGGGAAGCAGGGUGAUCCUAUGCUGCCAAGAAAAUCUUCUAGCGAGGUUCGAGCCGCCCGUACCCCAAACCGACUCAGGUGGUUAGGUAGAGAAUACCAAGGCGAUCGAGUGAAUCGUGGUUAAGGAAUUCGGCAAAAUACCCCCGUAACUUCGGGAGAAGGGGGGCCCAGAGGGUGAAGGCACUUGCUGCCUAGCCUGAACGGCCGCAGAGACCAGGGAGAAGCGACUGUUUACUAAAAACACAGGUCCGUGCGAAGUCGCAAGACGAUGUAUACGGACUGACGCCUGCCCGGUGCUGGAAGGUUAAGAGGACCGGUUAGUUCUUCGGAGCGAAGCUGAGAAUUUAAGCCCCAGUAAACGGCGGUGGUAACUAUAACCAUCCUAAGGUAGCGAAAUUCCUUGUCGGGUAAGUUCCGACCUGCACGAAUGGCGUAACGACUUCUCCACUGUCUCAACCACGAACUCGGCGAAAUUGCACUACGAGUAAAGAUGCUCGUUACGCGCAGCAGGACGGAAAGACCCCGGGACCUUUACUACAGCUUGGUAUUGGUGUUCGGUACGGCUUGUGUAGGAUAGGUGGGAGACUGUGAAGCAUGCACGCCAGUGUGUGUGGAGUCAACGUUGAAAUACCACUCUGGUCGUUCUGGAUAUCUAACCUCGGUCCGUGAUCCGGAUCAGGGACAGUGCCUGGUGGGUAGUUUAACUGGGGCGGUUGCCUCCUAAAAGGUAACGGAGGCGCCCAAAGGUUCCCUCAGCCUGGUUGGCAAUCAGGUUUUGAGUGUAAGUGCACAAGGGAGCUUGACUGUGAGACAGGCAUGUCGAGCAGGGACGAAAGUCGGGACUAGUGAUCCGGCGGUGGCUUGUGGAAGCGCCGUCGCUCAACGGAUAAAAGGUACCCCGGGGAUAACAGGCUGAUCUUGCCCAAGAGUCCAUAUCGACGGCAUGGUUUGGCACCUCGAUGUCGGCUCGUCGCAUCCUGGGGCUGGAGUAGGUCCCAAGGGUUGGGCUGUUCGCCCAUUAAAGCGGUACGCGAGCUGGGUUUAGAACGUCGUGAGACAGUUCGGUCCCUAUCCGCUGUGCGCGUAGGAAACUUGAGAAGAGCUGUCCCUAGUACGAGAGGACCGGGAUGGACGAACCUCUGGUGUGUCAGUUGUUCUGCCAAGAGCACGGCUGAUUAGCUACGUUCGGAAGUGAUAACCGCUGAAAGCAUCUAAGCGGGAAGCACGCUUCAAGAUGAGGUUUCCAUGGGCUUCGGCCCGAGAGGCUCCCAGCUAGACUACUGGGUUGAUAGGCCAGACGUGGAAGCACAGUAAUGUGUGUAGCUGACUGGUACUAAUAAGCCGAUAACUUGACACAACAAAG
RNAcentral lists this ribosomal RNA (2223 nucleotides) under Salmonella enterica. RNAcentral describes it as "partial 23S ribosomal RNA". It matches the Rfam family "Bacterial large subunit ribosomal RNA", at positions 861 to 2925 of the family's 2925-position model. The record is from RNAcentral. Lineage: Bacteria; Pseudomonadati; Pseudomonadota; Gammaproteobacteria; Enterobacterales; Enterobacteriaceae.